CGUCAUGCCCCUUAUGACCUGGGCUACACACGUGCUACAAUGGUUGGUACAACGAGUUGCGAGUCGGUGACGGCGAGCUAAUCUCUUAAAGCCAAUCUCAGUUCGGAUUGUAGGCUGCAACUCGCCUACAUGAAGUCGGAAUCGCUAGUAAUCGCGGGUCAGCAUGCCGCGGUGAAUACGUUCCCGGGCCUC
RNAcentral lists this ribosomal RNA (192 nucleotides) under uncultured Streptococcus sp. RNAcentral's name for it is "partial 16S ribosomal RNA". It matches the Rfam family "Bacterial small subunit ribosomal RNA", at positions 1191 to 1381 of the family's 1533-position model. Lineage: Bacteria; Bacillati; Bacillota; Bacilli; Lactobacillales; Streptococcaceae. The record is from RNAcentral.